This 73-nucleotide transfer RNA is filed under the name Chrysemys picta bellii (western painted turtle). RNAcentral describes it as "tRNA-Lys (CTT) (tRNA-Lys-CTT-5-1)". It matches the Rfam family "tRNA". From Rfam's summary of the family: Transfer RNA (tRNA) molecules are approximately 80 nucleotides in length. Their secondary structure includes four short double-helical elements and three loops (D, anti-codon, and T loops). Further hydrogen bonds mediate the characteristic L-shaped molecular structure. tRNAs have two regions of fundamental functional importance: the anti-codon, which is responsible for specific mRNA codon recognition, and the 3' end, to which the tRNAs corresponding amino acid is attached (by aminoacyl-tRNA synthetases). tRNAs cope with the degeneracy of the genetic code in two manners: having more than one tRNA (with a specific anti-codon) for a particular amino acid; and 'wobble' base-pairing, i.e. permitting non-standard base-pairing at the 3rd anti-codon position. The record is from Rfam by way of RNAcentral. Lineage: Eukaryota; Metazoa; Chordata; Testudines; Emydidae.
GCCCGACUAGCUCAGUUGGUAGAGCAUGAGACCCUUAAUCUCAGGGUCGUGGGUUCAAGCCCCAUGUUGGGCG